AGUGAACGCUGGCGGUAGGCCUAACACAUGCAAGUCGAACGGCAGCACAGUAAGAGCUUGCUCUUACGGGUGGCGAGUGGCGGACGGGUGAGGAAUACAUCGGAAUCUACUUUUUCGUGGGGGAUAACGUAGGGAAACUUACGCUAAUACCGCAUACGACCUACGGGUGAAAGCAGGGGAUCUUCGGACCUUGCGCGAUUGAAUGAGCCGAUGUCGGAUUAGCUAGUUGGCGGGGUAAAGGCCCACCAAGGCGACGAUCCGUAGCUGGUCUGAGAGGAUGAUCAGCCACACUGGAACUGAGACACGGUCCAGACUCCUACGGGAGGCAGCAGUGGGGAAUAUUGGACAAUGGGCGCAAGCCUGAUCCAGCCAUACCGCGUGGGUGAAGAAGGCCUUCGGGUUGUAAAGCCCUUUUGUUGGGAAGGAAAAGCAGCAGGUUAAUACCCCGCUGUUCUGACGGUACCCAAAGAAUAAGCACCGGCUAACUUCGCG
This 492-nucleotide ribosomal RNA is filed under the name uncultured bacterium. Its description in RNAcentral is "partial 16S ribosomal RNA". It matches the Rfam family "Bacterial small subunit ribosomal RNA", at positions 29 to 507 of the family's 1533-position model. The record is from RNAcentral.